GGGAAAAGAUGUUAAAGAGAAAUAGUAACAGAUUGAAUUACUGAGCAAUAAAAAGAGUAAUGGACUUGAGACACUGAGUAAGAAAUUCAGAAAUGGCAUAAUAAAUUCAGAGAGGAAAGGGAAGUGAAUUAGAAGGUGAAGAAAAUAUCAAAAGAGGUCAUGAUGGCAGAAAUGAGUGAAGGAUGGGAAGAAGAUAAGGCAACGCUUCAGAAUCAAAUAAAGAAAAUGAAAUUCCAGUUUAAAAAUGAACAGAAAGUAUUUACCAUCAAGUUUGAACAAAGAUUGCUUAACUUACAACAAGAAAAUAAAGUUUUGUUAAAGUUAACUAAUGACCUAUGCAAAGAAGGAAUCAAGCAAAGAAAGUA
This 365-nucleotide unclassified non-coding RNA is filed under the name Hevea brasiliensis (rubber tree). Lineage: Eukaryota; Viridiplantae; Streptophyta; Magnoliopsida; Malpighiales; Euphorbiaceae. The record is from RNAcentral.